Molecule: non-coding RNA, 657 nt
Organism: Camellia sinensis
Lineage: Eukaryota; Viridiplantae; Streptophyta; Magnoliopsida; Ericales; Theaceae
Source: RefSeq, a predicted model, not a curated record
AGGAAAUUAAGGAUUUAACGGCGUUUAAUUAACGGCAUUUUAGUAAACGUCACCUUUUCUAAUAAUUAACGACGUUUUUUAAACGUCGCAUUUGUUAUAAAUUAAAACGGUACCGUUUUGUGAAUGGAAGACGUUUAAAAAGCGCCUCCAAAUCUGGUUUCUCUUUCCACCCUCUUUUGUCUCUCCAAACCUUUAUUUUGAAACCCCUAUCUUCAGCACUGCCGUCAAGACGAUCAAAUCCUGUCUCACUCACUCUCUUGCUCUCUCUCUCUCAGAGAAUCGAAUCUGUUUCUCCAAAUCUCUUUCUCUCAGAGGAUCGAUUCUUCUCAGUCUCUUCCUCAGUGAUUCUUCUUCGAAUCUUCUUCAGUUUGGUGAUUCAUUUCGGGAUUGCGAUUUCGAAGUUUGAUUUUGAGCACAGCUCCGUGAUUUAUAUCUUCGAUCAAAGGUCGGUGAUUCAUCUCAGGAUUGUGAUUUCGAAGUUCGAUUUUGAGCACAACUCCAUGAUUCAUCUCCGUGGAUUUGGAACUCUUCGUCUUCUUCGAUCAGAGGCAUUCAAUUGUAACAAUGAAGGCUGCCAAGGGUAAGGGGGCAGCAAUCAGGGUCCCAAAGGAGGCGUUGAAGCCAGUUGACGACAUAAAGGUCGGGAAGAGAAAGGCU